AGAGUUUGAUUAUGGCUCAGGACGAACGCUGGCGGCGUGCCUAAUACAUGCAAGUCGAGCGGACAGAUGGGAGCUUGCUCCCUGAUGUUAGCGGCGGACGGGUGAGUAACACGUGGGUAACCUGCCUGUAAGACUGGGAUAACUCCGGGAAACCGGGGCUAAUACCGGAUGGUUGUUUGAACCGCAUGGUUCAAACAUAAAAGGUGGCUUCGGCUACCACUUACAGAUGGACCCGCGGCGCAUUAGCUAGUUGGUGAGGUAACGGCUCACCAAGGCGACGAUGCGUAGCCGACCUGAGAGGGUGAUCGGCCACACUGGGACUGAGACACGGCCCAGACUCCUACGGGAGGCAGCAGUAGGGAAUCUUCCGCAAUGGACGAAAGUCUGACGGAGCAACGCCGCGUGAGUGAUGAAGGUUUUCGGAUCGUAAAGCUCUGUUGUUAGGGAAGAACAAGUACCGUUCGAAUAGGGCGGUACCUUGACGGUACCUAACCAGAAAGCCACGGCUAACUACGUGCCAGCAGCCGCGGUAAUACGUAGGUGGCAAGCGUUGUCCGGAAUUAUUGGGCGUAAAGGGCUCGCAGGCGGUUUCUUAAGUCUGAUGUGAAAGCCCCCGGCUCAACCGGGGAGGGUCAUUGGAAACUGGGGAACUUGAGUGCAGAAGAGGAGAGUGGAAUUCCACGUGUAGCGGUGAAAUGCGUAGAGAUGUGGAGGAACACCAGUGGCGAAGGCGACUCUCUGGUCUGUAACUGACGCUGAGGAGCGAAAGCGUGGGGAGCGAACAGGAUUAGAUACCCUGGUAGUCCACGCCGUAAACGAUGAGUGCUAAAUGUUAGGGGGUUUCCGCCCCUUAGUGCUGCAGCUAACGCAUAAGCA
This 876-nucleotide ribosomal RNA is filed under the name Bacillus subtilis subsp. subtilis. Its description in RNAcentral is "bacterial SSU rRNA". It matches the Rfam family "Bacterial small subunit ribosomal RNA", at positions 8 to 866 of the family's 1533-position model. Lineage: Bacteria; Bacillati; Bacillota; Bacilli; Caryophanales; Bacillaceae. The record is from RNAcentral.